UCCAGAUAAGAAUAAUUGCUAACAUGAUUAUUUAGUAAGAGUCAGAAAUCAUGCCAAGAACAUUCCAUGGAUACUUACCUAAACAUCAUCACAGUCCUACAAGCCAAUAUUCCUGGGGCAUGUACCAUGAACCAGGCUCUGUGCCAGCUCCCGCAGAUGCAAGAUGAAGACCUUGCCCUUGCCCUUGAGUGGAUGGAGAGGACACAGAUGGACAAGCACCUAGAUGAGAUGAGAGGUGUAGGGGUUGGGCUUAGCUCUGCCUGUGGGAACCUGGGCAGGCUUCAUCAGGAGGUGGCGCUCAAGUCCAACUGAAAAUAUGGAUCUCCCAGGAGUGUCGAAGAUGACUCUGUGCCUGCACUCUAUGAACCUUCUGAAAUGAAGGGGCCUGGAGAUGCCAGCACCAUUGAGUUCCAGGGCACAGAUAUUCAUUGGAUAAUUACUACAUUACAUCCAUCAUCUGAUUUACUUUCCAUGUGUAACUGGAUGAGGUGAGUAUUUUCAUCCUCAUUUCAGAUACGAAAAAUCAGAGGCUCGAAAAGUUGAAUUGAUUUGCCCAAGGCCACAUAGGAAAGGGAAGAGAAAGGAUUUGA
Molecule: long non-coding RNA, 590 nt
Filed under: Homo sapiens (human)
Lineage: Eukaryota; Metazoa; Chordata; Mammalia; Primates; Hominidae
Description: HSALNT0318770
Source: RNAcentral